This 1355-nucleotide ribosomal RNA is filed under the name uncultured bacterium. Its description in RNAcentral is "bacterial SSU rRNA". It matches the Rfam family "Bacterial small subunit ribosomal RNA", at positions 28 to 1381 of the family's 1533-position model. The record is from RNAcentral.
AUUGAACGCUGGCGGCAGGCUUAACACAUGCAAGUCGAACGAUGAUUAUCUAGCUUGCUAGAUAUGAUUAGUGGCGGACGGGUGAGUAACAUUUAGGAAUCUGCCUAGUAGUGGGGGAUAGCUCGGGGAAACUCGAAUUAAUACCGCAUACGACCUACGGGUGAAAGGGGGCGCAAGCUCUUGCUAUUAGAUGAGCCUAGAUCAGAUUAGCUAGUUGGUGGGGUAAAGGCCCACCAAGGCGACGAUCUGUAACUGGUCUGAGAGGAUGAUCAGUCACACCGGAACUGAGACACGGUCCGGACUCCUACGGGAGGCAGCAGUGGGGAAUAUUGGACAAUGGGGGCAACCCUGAUCCAGCCAUGCCGCGUGUGUGAAGAAGGCCUUUUGGUUGUAAAGCACUUUAAGCAGGGAGGAGAGGCUAAUGGUUAAUACCCAUUAGAUUAGACGUUACCUGCAGAAUAAGCACCGGCUAACUCUGUGCCAGCAGCCGCGGUAAUACAGAGGGUGCGAGCGUUAAUCGGAAUUACUGGGCGUAAAGCGAGUGUAGGUGGCUCAUUAAGUCACAUGUGAAAUCCCCGGGCUUAACCUGGGAACUGCAUGUGAUACUGGUGGUGCUAGAAUAUGUGAGAGGGAAGUAGAAUUCCAGGUGUAGCGGUGAAAUGCGUAGAGAUCUGGAGGAAUACCGAUGGCGAAGGCAGCUUCCUGGCAUAAUAUUGACACUGAGAUUCGAAAGCGUGGGUAGCAAACAGGAUUAGAUACCCUGGUAGUCCACGCCGUAAACGAUGUCUACUAGCCGUUGGGGUCCUUGAGACUUUAGUGGCGCAGUUAACGCGAUAAGUAGACCGCCUGGGGAGUACGGCCGCAAGGUUAAAACUCAAAUGAAUUGACGGGGGCCCGCACAAGCGGUGGAGCAUGUGGUUUAAUUCGAUGCAACGCGAAGAACCUUACCUGGUCUUGACAUAGUGAGAAUCCUGCAGAGAUGCGGGAGUGCCUUCGGGAAUUCACAUACAGGUGCUGCAUGGCUGUCGUCAGCUCGUGUCGUGAGAUGUUGGGUUAAGUCCCGCAACGAGCGCAACCCUUUUCCUUAUUUGCCAGCGGGUUAAGCCGGGAACUUUAAGGAUACUGCCAGUGACAAACUGGAGGAAGGCGGGGACGACGUCAAGUCAUCAUGGCCCUUACGACCAGGGCUACACACGUGCUACAAUGGUAGGUACAGAGGGUUGCUACACAGCGAUGUGAUGCUAAUCUCAAAAAGCCUAUCGUAGUCCGGAUUGGAGUCUGCAACUCGACUCCAUGAGGUCGGAAUCGCUAGUAAUCGCAGAUCAGAAUGCUGCGGUGAAUACGUUCCCGGGCCU